Molecule: non-coding RNA, 83 nt
Filed under: uncultured eukaryote
Lineage: Eukaryota
Source: RNAcentral
GAAAAAAGGAAAAGAAAAGAGAAAAGAAAAAGAAGAGGCAGCAACUUGAAAAAACGUCAACGCUCGUGAUUCUUCUUCUUUUU